UGGCUCAGAACGAACGCUGGCGGCGUGCUUAACACAUGCAAGUCGAACGAGAACGGGAUAUAGCUUGCUAUAUUUGUCAGCUAAGUGGCGCACGGGUGAGUAAUGUAUAGAUAACCUGCCCUCUAGAGAGGAAUAACAGUUGGAAACGACUGCUAAUGCCCUAUAUGCCUUUAAUACAUAAGUAUGCAAGGGAAACGCUUUAGUGCUAGAGGAUGGGUCUGUAUGGUAUCAGCUUGUUGGUGAGGUAAUGGCUCAGGAAAAAUAUGACGCCUAACUGGUUUGAGAGGAUGGUCAGUCACAUUGUCUCUGAGACACGGACCAGACUCCUACG
This 331-nucleotide ribosomal RNA is filed under the name uncultured bacterium. RNAcentral's name for it is "bacterial SSU rRNA". It matches the Rfam family "Bacterial small subunit ribosomal RNA", at positions 20 to 343 of the family's 1533-position model. The record is from RNAcentral.